GUAAAUCCAAACCAUGACAAUCCAGGUUGUAAUUCUGAUGGUUUAAUCCAACUGGAAGAGAAUCUUUGGCCUGUCAAUGACAAAAUGGUUUAUAAAGAAGAAAAAAUAAAUACCAUAUACAAGUUAUCAUUAUAUUUUUCAUCUUUGAUCUCCCGCUCUUCCUUCCGGAUCCUCACAGCAUGGUAUCGGGGAACGCUAUCAUCGUACCUAGAGCGUUUAAAGAAUCCGCACUGACGAAGGGGAAAGAGAAACAGAAACAAACUAAGUAUCUCAAGAAAAGCAAAUGCACAAAAUGGGAAUGUCUAAGCUUUCUGUUCAGCUACGCCUACCUUUGGAUGAAGGGGAAAAAAUAAACAUGGUUUCUUUUAAGAAGGAACUAGUAGGUCCAAAAGACAUACCAGCAGUGGGGAUAAACAGAAGAGAAGACAGCUGUAACAUUGCAAGAAAAGUCCGUUUUUCCAUUGUGUCUCUACUAACAAGAGUUAUGGAAAAAUGCUUCCAUUUUUUAUAAUCACGAUAUUCUAUGUUAAAGAUCUAAUUUUCAGGUUAAAAAGAUUGGUCUUUAAAAAUGAUAUUCUAAUAAAGGCCAUAAACCAAAGAUUAUUCAUACCCCUUUCCCACUAACAAAAUGGAAUCAGAUCACAAAUAUUUUACAAAUUACUAUUUAAAUAUGCCAGUGUUCAAAUGGGCCAAUUUAAGAAUCUUCUCUCCUCCAAGGCUCAGCACAUAUCUCUCAUUAGCUACCAGGCAAUUUACACUGCCUGGAUUUCCUGUUGUGCUUAUAAAUUAAGCUGUUUCAUUAAUAAAUCAUGUAGUAACUGUGUCCUGUAAUAAAAUCAAUUGUGUACCACAAAGAACUUGAGGACAGUAGCACUACAUUGAAUUUCCGAGCACCCCUGAUUUUUUUGGCAAAGGAAAUUUAACACUUAAAUUAUUAAUGAAUAUAUAUUUUAUUCAUUUUUUAAAAAAUAAUCUAAUUGAAAGUAGAUUUUUAUUGAGAACAUAUUAGGAAGUUUUUUACUCAAACUGAAUUUUUAAAAUGAAUAAAAUAUACAUUUAAUGAAACAGAUGUGUUUUCAAUUUAAAAAUGCAGAUAGAGGGAAGAUGAGGAAGACAGUUGGAAGGGUCAAUUUGUAUCACGUAACAGGAAUGGAACAUUUAGAUGUUAUAAAAGUGUCACAGGGCAAAGUAAAAUUAUAUCCAGGCAUCACUAAAUCAAUAGGAAAAACUGACCAAGACAUUUUGUUCUAAGGCCAUUUCUACAUUGGACUCCAUAAUUAUUCUGUGCAAAAAGCCAAAAUACCUAUCAGUUACAAAAUGUGGCUCUUCAUUUAGACAAAGGAGGAAAUCAAGGGUGGUAUGUAAAACUGAAAUGGAAAUGCUGGGGUUCAUCAUGACAAUGCCAUGGAAAGGGAUUAUGGAGUAAUUCUAUCCUCUCAUGCCCAGAGAAAUGGAAAAAGGAAUUAUCACCAAUUCCUGUUUCCAUGGAUCUACACACAAGAGAAGCAAAAUACAUGAACUUAAAAUCAACCAAGAACCAAAGUUGAAUAAAAUCUCUAGGAACAUGAAACAAGAUCAAACUCCAUUACAACAACAUUGAAAUAGUAACUGUCCAGAGCAUUUUUAUAUUAGAAUUUUGCAUAAUGAAAGUCACUUUAGUAUAGAACCAUCUUCUGAAAUUGGCCAUCAUGUCCACCAUGUCAACAACAGUCAUAGUUUGUUGUAAUGGUCUUUGACCUGUAGUAGAUAAGCAGGAAAAGGAAGUUGCAUGCUUAGCUAGCAUAAAACAAUUUCUGAGCAACAAUAAAAGCAUUCCAAGCCUUCCCCCAUCACUUUAUAGCAAGAUCAAAAAAGACAGUGAGAAAGCCUUCUCUUCAGGAGAAACACAAUGUUUCCAACAUGCAACAGGUUAAUUAGGCAGUCAACACAAGCUUCUAUCUGUGGGAAAUUCCAAAAUGGACAAGAAACCGGUCACGAUUUCUUAUUCAUCUUUGAAAUUCCAAGUGGGAUGCUAGGUACUGGAUUGACAACACAUGGCAAACUGGGCUACUGUGGAGGGCUAAUGCCUCCUUUUGUGUGUACAUAGAUUACAAUCUUCUUCAUUGCUGUGGGUGAUGUUUGACAACAACACAGAAUAACUCACCUGCAACAAAAGAUUCUUUGUGCAUUUCUAAAAAAUAAAAAAACCCUGAGCUUUCAAGUGAAAUAGAAUAAAUCCAAGCAAGGCAAGCCAGUGUGGACAUUUGGAAACAUCUGUUAAUGGGACACACACAGCAAGCUGUUGCUCUUAAAGUUAGCCACCACAACCAUAGCACGUCCCACAGCUAGCAAUUAAAAAACAUUGAUCAAUUACCAAUUACAGAAGUAGAUCAAUACUAUGCAUCAGAAGUAAGCCUCUCUUUAUCAGAUGGCUGAGCAUGGAUCUCAGCCUUGUGAUAUGUGGCAUCAUAAUGAUCUUUCUUAUUUCUCUUGAAGAAACCACACUAUAAGGAAGCAAGGUAUUUAGUCAGUUUUACAGUUUUGUAUAUAAGAGCUAAACAAAAGCAAAUCUCAGAUGUUAACCUGUUUUCUAUUUAUAGCUUGUUUAUUUACAAAGAGACCAUGAUGGAUCAGCCAAAAGUGGACAGCCACCGCACUAUGUUACACGGACAGCGACCAAACCAACUCGAUUCUCAUGGGUCUCUGGUCAGAUACUUAGAUGACAUUACUCAGCUGAUUUUUGUAUUUGCAACAGAAAUCCUGAGGACAAAAAUCAUUGUAACGAUUAUGAAUAUGAACUCUAAAACAGGCAAAAGACUGACUUUUGCGUUUUACUUAGACAAAGGUUAAGGAAGUUCUCUAAAAUUUAGCACAAAUCCAAAUAAAAAAAGAUGCUGCAUUUUUCUGCCUUUCACAGUAACUUGUAUGGAACAAAUGCCAUCUACCUGAAGCCUUUGGAUUUGUGGGUAAAUCACAAUAUAAAUUUGAAUUUACCAUCAUGAAAGAAUGAUUGCUGUCAUUUUCCCAAAUUCUGAACCACUAUGAAACCCUUAAGUGGUAGGAACCUAUGUUCUUCAGGUUAAGUCACUCUAAAUGAACACAGAAGUGUAAUUCCACUUUCUACUAUAAUUUCCUUCAUUCAAUGAUGGAGAAAUUCUUUGGUCUACUUGUUCAUAAGGCUAUGAAACUGCCCUUUGAAACAUAGCUUGGUCAAAUAAACCUGCCCUCCUGGAAAACUGUGCUUCCUAGCCUGGCAACUCAUGAAAGUAAAAAUCUAGGUCUGUUUUGUAUAGCAUGCUAACUACUAAGUACAUGAGAGUAUUCAAAUUUAAAUGAAAAAAAAUCCCUCCGUCGCACCAGCCACAUUCCAAGUGCUCGGUAGUCACCUGUGUCUCAUGACUACACAUUGCAUAGUGCAGCUGCAGAACACUUCCAUUAUCACAGGGCGUUUUAUGGGCAGCACGGAUCUAAACUGUCUGUCCUGGUGUUUACUUCUGACUCUCUCCAUUUAAUACAGUGAACACACCCAGCCAACUUUCACACAUGCCAGGCAACAGGGUGGGGAGAAGGAAUGAGCCAGGAACCCAAAGUCCUGGUCCUGCCUGCAGUUUGGCAACAUUCUUAAUAUCCACAGGCAUGAGCAUCCUUGUUGGCACAAUUAAAGCGACUGGACCAGCCUCAAGGACUUUUUGUCUUUACCUUCCAACAAAACCCUAUGUAAUAUCCUGGAAUUUAAAGCAGAUAUCAGAACUACUCUGGUUGAAGUGGGGAUAUUUGCACUAACUCCCCUGCCUCACUUCAUCUUGGCACCUAUGUGGAUGUGCAAAACCCACUUUAAAGGCCACUGAACCAGAGUCCUCUCCGGCCCUCCAGUUCUAGGAUUUUAACACAAAAAAAAAUAGUUCACUUUCAGAAAGAAGAGUAUCCGUAAAGUAAUAAAAAUGAUCUUCAUGGAGGGGACAUAGAGGUUGUCUGAGUUGCACUUUUGAGUUCUGGAUACUUUAGAGCUACAAACAACCCAUGAGAUCACACAGUCCAAUGUACGUACUAAAGAGCUAAAACAAACCAGUGCCCUGGGGAGAUGAAAUGAUUUGCCUAAAAUUAUAUAGCUUGGGUUUCUUAACUCUCAACCCACUGCUAUGUCUCACCCUCAUUAAAGACUGCCAAUAAGACCUGCUCUGAAAAAGACUGUCUUUGUGACCUCCUCCCAAGAGUACACGAAGGCCAUCCUCAGAUAUCAAACCUCAAAUUCAGUUUUUGAUACCAAAAUAGCUUCCAGAGCAUCUCCUGUGGCUGGCUGUGCUGACCAGAGAAACCUACUGCCUAAAGUGAACAUCAGAGGUAGGAUUGGCUAAUGUCCAAUUCAAGGAGGAGUCUUGGCAUGAACAAUUACGAAGCUUCAAUCACACACUUAGAGGACACCAGAAAGUUAUCUCACACUAGGAAAAGGAAGUUACUUGGAAAAAUAAAACAAAAAAGAAA
Acinonyx jubatus (cheetah) is the source of this 4461-nucleotide long non-coding RNA. RefSeq lists it as uncharacterized. The record is from RefSeq and is a predicted model, not a curated record. Lineage: Eukaryota; Metazoa; Chordata; Mammalia; Carnivora; Felidae. The transcript is spliced from 2 exons.